CCUACGGGGUGCAGCAGUGGGGAAUAUUGGACAAUGGGCAAAAGCCUGAUCCAGCCAUGCCGCGUGUGUGAAGAAGGCCUUCGGGUUGUAAAGCACUUUCAGUGGGGAAGAAAGCCUUGGGGCUAAUACCCUCGAGGAAGGACAUCACCCACAGAAGAAGCACCGGCUAACUCCGUGCCAGCAGCCGCGGUAAUACGGAGGGUGCGAGCGUUAAUCGGAAUUACUGGGCGUAAAGCGCGCGUAGGCGGUCUGAUAAGCCGGUUGUGAAAGCCCCGGGCUCAACCUGGGAACGGCAUCCGGAACUGUCAGGCUAGAGUGCAGGAGAGGAAGGUAGAAUUCCCGGUGUAGCGGUGAAAUGCGUAGAGAUCGGGAGGAAUACCAGUGGCGAAGGCGGCCUUCUGGACUGACACUGACGCUGAGGUGCGAAAGCGUGGGUAGCAAACAGGAUUAGAUACCCGAGUAGUC
Molecule: ribosomal RNA, 465 nt
Filed under: Vreelandella stevensii
Lineage: Bacteria; Pseudomonadati; Pseudomonadota; Gammaproteobacteria; Oceanospirillales; Halomonadaceae
Description: partial 16S ribosomal RNA
Rfam family: Bacterial small subunit ribosomal RNA
Source: RNAcentral